Molecule: transfer RNA, 72 nt
Filed under: Ictidomys tridecemlineatus (thirteen-lined ground squirrel)
Lineage: Eukaryota; Metazoa; Chordata; Mammalia; Rodentia; Sciuridae
Description: Spermophilus tridecemlineatus (thirteen-lined ground squirrel) tRNA
Rfam family: tRNA
About the family: Transfer RNA (tRNA) molecules are approximately 80 nucleotides in length. Their secondary structure includes four short double-helical elements and three loops (D, anti-codon, and T loops). Further hydrogen bonds mediate the characteristic L-shaped molecular structure. tRNAs have two regions of fundamental functional importance: the anti-codon, which is responsible for specific mRNA codon recognition, and the 3' end, to which the tRNAs corresponding amino acid is attached (by aminoacyl-tRNA synthetases). tRNAs cope with the degeneracy of the genetic code in two manners: having more than one tRNA (with a specific anti-codon) for a particular amino acid; and 'wobble' base-pairing, i.e. permitting non-standard base-pairing at the 3rd anti-codon position.
Source: Rfam by way of RNAcentral
UGGGUUGUAGUUCAGUGGUAGAGCACUUGCCUUGCAUGCGUGAGGCACUGGGUUGGAUCCUCAGCACCACAU